CUCUUCACUGUUAAUUUAUGAUUUGCAUGUCUUUCUCACAAAAAAGUUUUUAGUUCUGUGUCUAAGCCCCGGCUUUAAGUUUGCAGUCCGAUUCUGCUCUCUCUCUCAUCAAUCUCAAUAUUGAGCCGGCUUAUAUCCAUUUAUUAUACUUGCUCUAAGAUUUCAGUAAUUGAGAGAGCAUAUAGAGCAGGCAAUUGUUACUACAC
This 206-nucleotide long non-coding RNA is filed under the name Zea mays. RNAcentral's name for it is "long non-coding RNA (ZMAY_LNC000962)". The record is from RNAcentral. Lineage: Eukaryota; Viridiplantae; Streptophyta; Magnoliopsida; Poales; Poaceae.